GAUGAACGCUAGCGGCAGGCCUAACACAUGCAAGUCGAGGGGGAAGUUACUUUCGGGUGACUGAGACCGGCGUACGGGUGCGUAACGCGUAUACAAUCUGCCUUUCACUGGGGGAUAGCCCGAAGAAAUUUGGAUUAAUACCCCAUAGUAUAUAGGGACGGCAUCGUUUUUAUAUUAAAGCUUAGGUGGUGAAAGAUGAGUAUGCGUUCUAUUAGCUAGUUGGAGAGGUAACGGCUCCCCAAGGCGAUGAUAGAUAGGGGUUCUGAGAGGGAUGUCCCCCACACUGGUACUGAGAUACGGACCAGACUCCUACGGGAGGCAGCAGUGAGGAAUAUUGGACAAUGGUCGGAAGACUGAUCCAGCCAUGCCGCGUGCAGGAUGAAGGUCUUGUGGAUUGUAAACUGCUUUUGUAAGGGAAGAAUAAGGGCUACGCGUAGUUUGAUGACGGUACCUUACGAAUAAGCAUCGGCUAACUCCGUG
This 480-nucleotide ribosomal RNA is filed under the name uncultured bacterium. Its description in RNAcentral is "partial 16S ribosomal RNA". It matches the Rfam family "Bacterial small subunit ribosomal RNA", at positions 28 to 507 of the family's 1533-position model. The record is from RNAcentral.